CAGGCAGCUCGCUGCAGAGCUCCUGAGGAGAGGGGAAGCAGGCUGCGGCGGUCAGCCCGCAGACCCCUCCCCGGCGCAGGGGGCUCGGCCCACCACGACUGUACCAUUCAGCAUUCCCGCAGGGGCAAAUCCCAGGAAAAUGCAUCCCGGGGCCUCGACCCCUCGUUCCAGCGGGGCCCAGCCCCGGGGCACCACCGCACCGGCAAAGCCCGGGAGGGGGCUCAGUGUCCCCCUUGGCUUUGCACACUCAGGCUGCUCCCAGCCUGGCUGCCAGCUCUCUCCCACCCUCCCUUGCCCUGUAAAAGGGAGGAGGGGGCUGGCGGCAGCAGCAGAGAGAGGUGGGAGAGGCGGCAAGGCAGGCGUGCGGGAGCUCGGCCAGCAGGUGAGAGGGAAGAUGAGCACAGAGGACACUGGCAAUGGGACCUCUCCUACCACGCCUCUCCUUGGGCUUCUGGUUUCAACGACUGAGCUGGUCCCUCCCAGCUAUGCAUCCCCUGAGACAGCAGACCCACUGCUUGUCAUUGUUGCACUCAUCUGCAUCUUCCUCCUCCUGGCGACCUUCCUCAUCUUUGUUACCCUGUGCAAGCCAGCGGUGCUGGACCAGGCCCGCUCCGGGCCCCAUGAGUGCAUGCCCCAUCACCCAGUGGAUGCCAGUGAGCCCCAGCUGAGGUUCUGGAAGCGGCUGGGCUCCCUGCGAUGCUCCAUCAACACCUUCAGGAGGAGUCAGCCAAUGUCCCAGAGACAGCUCACCUGCCCCAGGGGCUCCCUCGCCAGCCAGAACUGGGAUAUCACAGAAUCCACCAAAAUGUGACCCUCCUCUGCAGGAACUAACUCACCCCGCACUGCUAUUCUUUCUCAAGCUUUUGGUUCAGCCUCAGUUCCCUUCUGAGCAUCCUGGCAGAGCCCCUUUGAGCAGCUCAUUUCCAGGCAGUGACUCUGCAAGGUGAUGAGAGAUUUUGCUAUUUCAGGUUCACAAAUGCUUUCCAGGUUACCGUUUCCUGGCAGGAAAGGUGGAGGCAUCUGAACCACAACCACACACAGCUAUCACCAGGCAGUCCAAAAAAUACUGCCGCUUAAUUUCUUUUGGAAAACGUUGUGCAAGUUGCGAGCCACCUGAACAAACAGCCUGGGCGAGAGAAGAGCAAGCUGGCUACCCAACAAAUAUUGCCUUGAAGAGAGGCAUCCUGGGGCAAAUGUGCUCCACAAAAAGCAGUCCUCAGCUGAGACUGUCCCUGAGUUGUGGUCCUGAGCAGGCAGAGGAAGGCUUGUGCCCCCUGUGUGCCACCCGGUCCCUGUCUACUCUCUCUCCAUGCAAUGAGCUGUGGUUGCUGCAGAUGCUUGGAAGGAUGUAUGCUACAGCUGUUUGCUGGAAACCUGUUUCAAUAAACAAGCAGUGGGAGCAGGUAAACAUGCCUAUAAAUGCAUUAAAGAGAGCUUUUGAGGCUCGCAGCCACUGCCAGCUUUGAAAGGCACUGUGCAAAGCUCAGCUCUCAUUUCUGCUGGGAAAGGGUACAACAACCAGCAGCUUGCAAAUCCCACACUGAACCAUGGUGGUUUGGUUUUAUUCUGCCUGUCCUGAAAGAAAAUGGAAAAGCUGAACCACCUCUAAGCUCUGCCAUAGAGCCACUGCCCAGGGAGGCUGGAAACACAGCUAGUCAUUAAAGCAACUCCAUAGACCAAGAGAGUGAUGUACGCUGGAAGGGACUACUGGAGGUCAGGUAUUCGGGAGAUGAAGGCAGACAGGGGUCUGAUGAGUUUUCUGUAGACUCAGCUCAGCUCACAGCCAAAGAGCACCCGGACUGGUUGGUGUUCAGUAGAUAAGGACAUGGCACAAAGUGUGAGGCAAUGUGGACUCUAAGUGGGCUUGGCUUUUCCAACAUGACCAGUGCAAGUGAGCAUUAAAUCCACCUAGCUGGAGCCCAUGGGAUAUGCUGAGUGGAAAAACACAGGCAG
Molecule: RNA transcript, 1953 nt
Organism: Pezoporus flaviventris
Lineage: Eukaryota; Metazoa; Chordata; Aves; Psittaciformes; Psittacidae
Gene: CUNH10orf105
Gene name: chromosome unknown C10orf105 homolog
Exons: 3
Source: RefSeq, a predicted model, not a curated record